UGUGAUCUGGUUGUCUAACAGGGUGUGG
Molecule: non-coding RNA, 28 nt
Filed under: Homo sapiens (human)
Lineage: Eukaryota; Metazoa; Chordata; Mammalia; Primates; Hominidae
Source: RNAcentral